GGGAGCAGGGGUGGAUGCAGAGGGCUGGAGGCGAGGAGAGUGGAGGGGAGUCUCUGGACACUUGGCUCACUUACAGCUAAAAGCCCUGCGAGCUGGUUGUUAGUUUAUUUAAUCCAAGUGCCAUUUUCUUGGUCCUCUUCUCUUCGAAUUGCUGAAAGGAAGGAAGGAGAAAGAGUUAUCUGUAUGCGGCUAAAGCUCCUGCUGCAAACUCCAUCAGGAGUAGCACCCUGGGGAAGCGUCGGUCCAAGCGCCUCAGCCCAGCCAGGCAUGUCAUCCGCCAGUCGAUGCGAGAGCCUGGCUCCAAGCACCGACCAGGCAAACACAUUUGGGAGAUUUGCUGGAGGUUCAGCACCUGGGGGCUCAGCACCAAUUCCUGCUGCCAGAACCAGCAAGGAUGGCCAGGAGUGGAGGCAAGAUUUCAUCCUGCCCUCAAAACCACAGCCCUUUGGAUCAGACAGGCGGGAUGUCAUGGGAUUAUUUUUGCUCAGGGAGGGAGGCUUGCUUCUCCAAGAAUACCUCUGUCUUCCCACUGCUCAAGCUACACUCAUCUGAUCUUUCAGACACAUAAUCUAAGCGGCCCUGCAUCACUGGAGCCCAAUUUAAUGCCAAGCCAUGAAUUGAAGGAUCGGAAGUGCCCAGCCACAAUGAAAUCCUGUUCACACAUUAGGGAGUCCUGGCUGAGCAGCCCUAGAAAUUGAAACAAGGGGACUGGACUAAAUCAAUGCGAUUCGCCCAAAGGGCAGAGCCACUACUGAGAUGCACAAAACAGAGAAGGGCAGGAUCUCCCGUUGCCAUGCACCUAAGGAGCAGGAUGAGCCAUUCAAAAGUGCAGCCCGACCUUUUCUAGCCCAAAAGUCCUGAGUGCCAACUUCACUUCUUUUUAGCCUAGGGACAAGCUGUGGGAAGAUAAGGGGAGGAAACAAAAAGUGAAUAAAGGAAACAGAGAGUAAUGAUGGUCCUGGAAAGGGAAUUGGCUUUUAUACAAACCCUAGAGUGGAGCUGGACCAGCUGCACAUCCCUUCCUCGGCGUGGAACCACGAUAUAUUACUGCAACGUAGGUAUUCUUGGGAAAGAGAGGGCUUUGUCUAGACUGGUGCUCUCCUGGAGGAGUGUGUACAUAUGGGACCUCAUGGUGGAGAAAGAAGGGCAUCAGGUUGAACAUCUGUUGCAAGGGAAUGUAUUGUGCCACCCUUCUGCCUAGUGCUUUGUGGAUGAUCUCCCUCUCACAGGAGAAAUUGGUGAUGUGGAGCUCAAUCAUGUGCUCAUUUCAUGCUCUGUGUAGCAGCUCCAGAGCAGAGGGUGGCAGGGAGGAAGGGAGAUCAUGGUGCGGGGCACCAGCAUUGUGCUCAGAACCCCAGAGUUUGCUCAUGGGGCAAGACCCUACUUAGUGCAGGGGGAAAAGCAAGUUCCUGCACAGCUUGCAGUGUCUCCAUAGGAACAAAAGCACCUUGCAAACAUGGGCAAUGCCUCUCUUCUUCAAGCAGGGCGGUUCAUGCAAGAAGAUGAAGAAUGUUCAGAUUGGAUAUUAAGACAAAUUUAUUAAUGGAAAGGGUGGUGAAGCACUGGAACAGGCUGCCCAGGGCAGUGGUGGAGUCACCAUCCCUGGAGGGGUUUAAAAGAUGUGGAGAUUAGGUUCUUAGGUAUGUGGUUUAGUGCCAGAGUUAGGCUAUGUUUGGACUCAAUGAUCUUGAGAACCUCUGCCAACAUGAUUCUAUGAUUCUAUAAUGCAGCUACAAGGAAAUACCUCCUACCCCAGCGUGGGAUGCUCUUCUACUGCUCAGCACAGCAUCGCCUGCAGCUCUCCUCUGCUGCCAAACUACGACUGCAGUGUGGACCAUGGCUGGACUGUCAGGUGUGUACAAGGUCUGAGAUGCCCUAAGGCAGCAGAAAAGCUGAUGGAUGCUGCAGAAGCUGCAAUGGGGCUUGGAAAUCCAAGGCCUGUGGAAGACUCUGCAUUCCCUGGGAAUGCAGUGCUAUUCCUGCUCUUAACCAUGAUCCUACUGAUCCUAAGAGCCAAAGCUGGCUCUUUGAUGAAGGAAGCACAAGGAGCUUACCAAACAAAUUGUACAUGCGUGCACAUUCAUACCCCCCACUUUGGAAAAUGCUCUUCAAAGGAAUCCUCAGCUGAAUUUUUCCAACCCACAAUACCCUUGGAAAUUGCUCCUCUGCCUGAAGAGUUUGCAAACAAUAAUGUCUGGCCCUUGUUCAAAACAUCAACCAGAGCUAGUAGGAGAUGGUUCACCACAAGGCAGUCAGAAAGCAGACUAUCACAAUUCAGAUGUGGCUUGAUCAAAUUCAAGGCAGUAUAAGAUGUGAAACAGAUUACAGGCUGGAUCACAUAAGCCACAAACCACAUUAAAAGUAUAGGGACUACAAUAGAUAUUCUGCUCUCACACUUAAACAUGAUCCUGAACGAAAGGAUUUCCCGUGCCUCCAGCACUUCUUCCCCUAAAAAAGGAUUUCUGUCUCCAGAAAAUGCAAUCCAGUUGCAUGAAGCACCUCAGGUACUGUGAGCAUCUUUGCAUAACAAUGUCAUGUCAAACAAAUUCCUGCCUGCUCCUUGUCUACCGCCUGAUGUAUUGUGCCCCAAAAUGGUUUUGACUACCUGCCACCUCAGCAACACCCAAGGGCUAUGAAAUUACCAAAUUGCAGAGGCAGCUGUGAAAAUGAAAAGUAAAAUGGGUUGGGAGAAGGAGGGGAAAAGCCAAGCGAUCGGGUGCUGAUGUGCUGGGAGGAUGGAGGGAAGGACAAGGCCAGCUGGGGACAGGAUUUGUCCUCCACUUCCCAGAUGAGGGAUGAUGUCUCUCAAGUGCCAUACAAAUGAGCAAUGGUGUGGAAGGGCUUUCUAAUUAUUAAUGAUGGUUAAUCAGUUCAUUAACGUUGAUGGGCAGCACUUUGUAAGAGGGACGAUUUGCUCUCCUCCAGUGAGUAGAGCCCUCCCUUGUCUGCAGCCUCAUCGCUAGCUGUGGAUGUGUGUGUGGAGGGGUAGAAAGAGGAAUAAGAGGAUAUUUUGAUACUCAACGCCUGAUGCUGAGGCACCAUUAUGGUUCUGGCAGCACCCGCAUCCCCAUGGGUGCUGUGUCUGGUCCUUGGGAGAUGGGGAAUCAGCGCUCCCCAGCAGGUCUAGAGCAGAUGUAAUUAAAGCCUUCCCUGCCUGCCGCAGAGCAUAUGGGACAUGUUAGCAGAGUAAUUAAAUUUUGUGAAGUGAGUCUUUGCUGGGAAGCUGGAGGGUGGGUGGGUGGGAGGCAGGGGGAGCAGUAGCGCUGCCACACGCCACCUCGGGCCCUCGCACCAAAUUGCGCCUUGUGUGGCAAGCUGAGAUAAUAAUUAAGUGCUGGCUGAUUUGCAUUAUUUAUUGAGUUUGUACAUAUGAAAAAUAAAAUACUGAGGGAGCUGGUCAGCUGGUACAGAUGUUGCAGAUGAAAAAAGAAGAAAAAGAAGAAAAUUUGUGUGUGUGGGGGGAAUGAUGAGAAGGACUUCUGAGCAGAAAGGCAGAUGUGGGGGACUGGGAACAGAAGUGGCAGAGAAGAAGGGAAUGGGGAGAACAGAAAAGUCUAGUUCCUGCAGAUGUGUAAAAUACUUGUAGUGAACAGUAGAUUUGCCAAUUAGUGGAGUUGCAGGAGGAUGGAAAUUGCUCACGAAUUGGAGUCAUUUUUUCAUUGAGACAACCACAUCUCAAAAAUACUCCUGAGCCAAAAAAAGAAGUUAUUAGAUUGGUGUGGUGGAAAGUUCAUAAGGUUUCAGUGUUCUUUUCCCUUCACUUCUAUUUAGAAGUUAUAGACUGGAGACUCCCCAUGAGUCAUUACAGCUCCUGCAUUUAGCAUCAAUUCUUCCAAAAUAUGGUCUUCCCCAAGAGGUUUGUUCAUCUUUUGGAAACACUUCCCUUGUUAGUUUCUCUUGUCUCUGCUGUGUGCUUGGGAGGAUGGAGCUGCAGAUGUCACCAGGCUGCCGGUCAUUGCCCUUCUGUGCCAAAAAUGACGUGCAGCUGCCAGCACAUGAAGGAAACGUGGAUGGGAAGGAUGUGAUGGGGAGAACCAGCUGGGAUGGGGUGAUGUGGCACACGCGAUGCCUUUCCUCUAAAGAGGCAUGAGGUGGUGCUGCUUGAGGUGCCCACAUCUGCAGAGCUCCUCGUUUCUCCUUUGCUCGGUUUGGAUAGCAGAAACUUCAUUUACAAUUUGCUUUGCAACAUCCCAGCCUGGCAGCCGCAGCAGAGAGAGUGAGGGAGGGUGAGGAAGAAAUAUGUAACUAGGUCAGUCUGCUCCACAUUACAGCUUCAUCCUUUACCCAGGGAGGAGUUGUGGUCUUUGCCCGCCUCUUGCUGUUCCCAUUCAGUCACUUGAUGGGGUUUCUUGCUACUUUGAGCUUGCAACCUUCAGAUCAAGAAUUUUUCUUCUUUUUUUUUUUUUUUCUUCCUUAACUUGGCUUCCAUGUUCGACUCUGCUUCUUUCAACCUGUGUUCAGAGGUUCACAGUGGAAGAAACCUUUUGCUGUAUUUAAUUGUAAAAGUUCCUUCCCUAUAAAAGUCUUGGCAAACGGGGCUGGCUCAGUGGUUAGUGCUUUGCUCUCCUCCUUGCAGGGGCAAAGUUCAGUUACUUAGCGUCUGGCUGCUUGUUCUUUUGUCCAAGAAGGAGUUUUUGAUCACAGUAGGACUGGAUGGUUUGGCUUAUUCACAGCGGGGCUACAAUGCUGAUUGCCAUUAGGUCUCUUGUUCAAAUAUGGUUGGAUCGUUAGUGAAGUUUUAACCAUUUUGUGGCCGGUGUAUGAGGUGUUGAUGGCUCAGCCUGUUUGCUGGUGGGUGGAUGUGCCUAUUCUGUAAAUACAUCCACCCAAGGAGCACCAGGUGAUUUUUUCGUUCCCCUCUUUGCAUCCCACCAUGUUUCUGCUAUUCGCCAAGAUACGCGUGGAGUGGACAUGGUCAAACCCACGCAGAUGUCCUCAAAGGCAGUGGGAUGCAGACAGGGAAUGUGUGCAUCCAGAUGUGGAGAGCAUCCUGUAUCCCUUAUCCCUCAGCACAUUCCCCUCUGGGCAGACGAGCAGAGCUGUCCUACUGCAAACCUUUCCCACCUCCCUUAUGUCAAGCCCUGCAACACCUCAGGUAUCCCCCUCAGCUGCCCACCUUCCCUUCUUGGUGGAAAUCCUCCCUGAUGCCUUCCUGUGUUGUCCCCCUCUUCUUCUGCCCCUCUGGAGGGACAAAGUCACCCAGCGAGCUUCAGAGAUACUGCUGGCUUGGUAUCGUUAAUACUAUCAGUAUGAAAGUAAACAGAGAUGGCACAUAUGGGCCAUUAGUAAGCGGCAUGUUAAUUAUGGUGAGGUGCUGCAUUACUCACUCUGGGCUAGAUCCUGCCCUCUGGCAAGUGGCACUGUCACCGCGCUGUCCUCCCUGCGGAGGGGGGGCUGGAGAUGGUGCCAGGCGUGGGAGCGCCGUGGGCAAAGCAUGUCCUUAUGUCACUUUGUAUAAAUACCUGUGCACGAAAGUGGGUUUUUUCCAUGCAGACUGGGUUCUGAGAGAAAAAGGCAGUGAAAGUUGGGGUGAGGCACCAGGGAUCAUCUGGAAAAGGGGGCUCUGCUCCUCAAACGUUAUUUUCUCUUGUUCUUAAUGAAUCUUGUGCAACCCCGGCUCAGACAGUAUUUGCAAACCUCGGGGAGAAAAAAGAUUUAAAACCAACAACAACAGAAGAGCAUUAGCAGGAAAUAAUCUCAUCAGCCCCAACUCUCCAGCAGCGCUGGAGACAGGAAAAUGAUGCCUUUUUAUUAGCCUUAUUGUCUUUAAUUAAAGCAUUCAGCAGAACCCUCUGAUAAUGGACUGCAAGUGAGGUCGGCAGCAUUUGUAAUAACACAAUACAGGGUUCAAUUAAGUUGUACUUUGGUAGCUUUUCAUCUCCAGUUUAAACAAGCUAGUGAUAUAUACAGAAUGAUUACCUUUUCAGGCUGGGGGAGAGGGGGGGCAACAGGGGCUUGGGAAGACAAAUCACUUGUUGCUGUAUAAUUAAUGCUAUAAAAACAGUCAAUUUCCCUACAGCAUUUUCCUGUGUUCAGCCAGUUUGUGGGGUACCCCAUCACCCCCACCUCGACUGACUGCAUGUAAUUUGGCUCCUAUACUGCAGCCAUUAGGUCUGGUGUUCUAUAUCACAUUUUCCUGUUGUUAUGGGUAACCACUGCAGGUUUCCUAAACCUGAACCUUUAAAAAAAUAUAUAUUCUUGAUGGUUGAACUCCAAAUAAACAAGAGGAUCAGAGACAGUAGAAGAAAAGAUCAGAGGUCCAGGUAUAACCAUUUGAGUUGAAAGACUGCGGAUGAUUGGCAAGCAGCUGAUAUUUGCUGCUCCUUCUUUCCCCUGCUCUUUUGAAUUAUUGGUCAUAAAACACUCUGCAGUUGCACUCUUGCUGUGUCAGAGAGAGAGAGAGAAGCCAAGAAAAGAUCCACAUGGCUAACACUUAACUUUAUCUUCACCGUUAAGUAAUGCUAAAUUAGAAUGAAAUCGCGCUGGUAAUACAGGUGACAGCUAUAUGAAGGCCAAAUGAAUUCCCUAUGAUCAGUGCCAUUAAAAGGAGCACGUUGGCAGAAUUCAUGAUGAUGGGACACUUACUGUGCGUAUAACUCAUGUGCGCACAGGAAGCUCAGGGUGAGUCUGGCUGGUGUUUUAUGUCAGGCUUUAAAAAAAAAAUAAAUAAAAAUGUGGCUUUAAAAGCUUCUGUUCAGGUUCUCAUCUCUCCAGCCCUGAUGUAAAUUUGCGAUAACUUAAUUGCACUGCUAAACCGCUGUGGGGGAGAGGAAGAGACGCGAAUGGAAAACAAGGACUUUACUGAGGCUUCUGGUCAGAGACGCUGAGCCCAUCCAUCUCUCACAUUGAUGUUAAAAUAAAAACAGGGAGAUUCAGGCUAAACAUGAAGAGGAAAUUUUUGCCCCUGAGGGUGGUGAGAGCCUGGCCCAGGUUGGCCAGAGAGGUGGUGGAUGAACCAUCCCUGGAGACAUCCCAGGCCAGGCUGGACGGGGCUCUGAGCAACCUGAGCUGGUGAAGAUGUCCCUGCUCAUGGCAGGGGGGGCACUGGGGGAGCUGGGAAGGUCCCUUCAACCCAAACUAAUCUGUGAUUCUAUUACAAACUCAGUAGUUUUUCGACAGCAGUCUGUGUCUACACCGCUUUAGCACGUGGUUUUUGCUCUCCAGGAUGCUGUGGCCUGCAGGGAUGGUGUUAAUCUCUCCAUGUUUAUUAGGCAAGAAGGUGCUACGGGGAAGGUAAAACCCAGGUCCCCUUCCCCUGUGAUGACUGUCAUUCUGUGAUACCCCAUGCUGGCACACUUUGUCACGCAAGGGCUCUACCCUGUGUGUAUGAGCAAAAAUUGCAGUUUGAGAUAAUUACCUUCUGCCUCCUUACAGCCCGGUUGUACCUGGAUACAGUUUGUGUGUUUUUACUGUCUCUCAUGUAGUGCAGCUAUGCGCUGUUAAACAGCUGUUCUGCUCCACCCUAGAAAAAUAGCUUCAAUAAAGUGCAUUUGCCAUACAGGUCAUAUAUUGGUUAAUUCAUCCUUUUGGGAGAACUUCCAGACAGGAAAUGUGGAGACAGAGGAAAUUGUCCCAGCAGAGCACAACAACUGUUAAAUUAAAUCCAACCCUGGCUCCCACUACCUGCCAUUGUUACUGAAAUAAAAAGAGAAAGCAAAGGGCUGAGCUUCGUCCGGGCUGUGUCACCGCCGCUGCCGAGUGCUCCAUCUCGUGGGGGACCUGUCAAUGCUUUUUUUCCUGGAGAAGACCGCAUCAAAACUUGGUCAGGAACCCUGAUCUCUGGAAAAGAAGAUAAAAAACAUUGAAGAGUAAUAAAUGAGACUCUAAGUCAAACCCCUCAGACUACAUCUAAAGACAGUUUACUCAUCUAUAUUCCCAGAGGAAAGCAGGAGGGCUGCAUAAAUGGUAGAAGGAAGGGAGUUAUAAACUGAAUAAAUAACCUUUGCAAAAAGGGGAUCCAGCCCAGGAAAGCCAUGAGGAAGGAGCACAGACCUUGGCAGGGCUGGCACAGAUGCAGGAGUUCUCUGCGCUCCUUGCAAUGUGGGAUUAGGCAAGAGAAUACCCUGGCUGAAAAUUUGACACACCCCGUAGUUUUCGUGGGCAGUUGCAGAAGAACCCCUGGCUGCCGACGCCGACUCCCGCGGUCCAGGCUGGGGGCUCAUCCUUGUGGAAGAAAGACCGGGACACCCACCUCAGCUCCUCAAAACGCUUGACUGGGGCAUCGAAGUGGACUCAAUACAAACCUGAGCGUUUCACUAGCCAAGUUUUCCACUCGGGAGGAGAAGCUACGGCUGUAUUGACCUUAAUGUGAAAUUAAAGUAAUUUAAGCAGGAAACCACCAACCCUGUGGCUUGGGAUAGCCUACCUGGCAGCCACCUCCGUCUCAAGAUGUCCUGGUCCCUCCAAGGCCGAUGCUCAGUUGGAUCAAAGGCUGGAAGGACAGGACCUGAGCUGAUGGGCACAAAGUGGAGCAGAAAAAGCAAAGUGAAGAGUCUCAAAUGCCAGACACAAGGUGAAACUCGAGUUGAAGCUGUGGAAUGACUAACAGAGACUUCACAGAACAUGUGUUCUGAAAGCCUGUAGCCGUGUCAUCUUCAAGCUGUCAUUUCAUGGGGACACUGCAAGUGAGGUACAGCCAGCCUGGUUUGGGAUUGCAUAGGAGACAUUCAAGACACUACAAGUAAUUCAGCUGAUGUUACAACUGCCCUGGAGGCAAGGCUGACUUCGGACCCAGCGCUCCGUGAAGGUUUAAGGGGAUGCUGAGCAAUCUGGUGGAUGAUGCACAACCAUGGAAGAUGCUGGGAAGCAUCUGCUGGGGGCUGCGUUUUUAAGUCCAGCCAAGUUGUGCCAGUGAUCCCUUUGGAUAUGUGUCACGAGCUGUAAGAGGUCUGAAGGGAUUAGUGAGCCUCUGUGGCAUGGUGGGAGAGAUGGACACGCCAGGCAAGCUGCGAUGCCUCUUGCACCACCACAAUGGGCAGGAUGCUUCUCCAGGAGCGAGGAUUUAUUCGGGUGCACUUCAUGGCCCUUCCACACUCACAAGGAAGUGUGAAUGGAAGAAGCGAUAGCCCUGGGUGAGCUGCUGAUGAACGUGGAGCACGUGUUACGUUCCCUCUGAGACUGCGAAGGAAAUCACAACUUUUAAUUAGGAUAUAAAACAUGGCCUUAAGAGCUCAUACGAGUGGAGGGAACUCCGCGUGAAGGAUGGGGAGCCAGCUGCGAGCGUUUCCCAGCUGCUCAGCCCGGGGGCUUUCCCCUGCGAGCUGGUUUUGCAGUUCCCCCAGGGACUGACGGAGGAAACAUCUCUUGAAGCACUGCAGGAGGAUGGAGCUGCUCUCACUCACCUGAGGGUGAUGUGCACAAGAUACACUGUGAUGUGUCCUUUUCAAGCUGCAGCCGACUACAUUGAAAUCUUGACUGACACCUCUUAUCUGAUAGGGGCCGCUUUUCCGCUGGCUGCUCUUUAGAGUGAUAAAUGUCAGGAGUUUGGGAGUUUGCGUGUAUCUAGGCGCUCCAUCUGAGACUUUGGGCAGCUUUAGCUGCUCUGAGAAAAGAAUAGCAACGUGGGGUGUGGGAAGCGAUUCAAUGUCAUGUCCUGCAUGUCAUGGAGGUCUGAGGCACAGGAAGGAGGAGGACACGUGACCUGAGAGGCUCUGCCCUUGACAGUCAGCAAGACCUUCACAUUCCUUCAGGAGCUUUCUUCAAGUCCCUGUGUCCAGCUGGUCCCUCUUCAGAGCCUUUGCAACAAGUAUGAAUCAGAAAGUGCUUUUGGAGGUGAUGUUGGAUAAACCUUUUCCCGGCAACUAACAGACUGAAUGGCUCAGUUUGCAGUGCCAAGUCCACGAUCCUCAGGAAGAUUGUUUCUUUUGGAUCCCAUGCCUCCAGGCAUUACGAUUUUGGUUUUGUGACUAGCAUUCAUCUGAUAUAUCAUUUAAUCAGACAGAUGGAUAAAGAGCUUAAGAACCUAUCCAAUGGAAAGGAAAAUGGAAAGGCUUCUCAGAGUCACAAAAAAUAAAUCACCUCCAUUGACUUUCUCUCCUUUGCUCCUCUCUGUCCAAAAGAGGCAAACAGUAUUCAAAGAGCACUCGAUAUUUAAAAGCUUUGGGUAUAUGUCAUGAGUACCCCCACUGCAAGAAUAGGUUGUUCCUUCUUGUCUUAGUCAAGUCAUGAUUUCUGGCACUGGGAGCUACAUUAUAAGUCCCCAGUGAAUGGGACCAUUAAUGAAACUACCCAAGGAAAGGAGAGUUGCAGAAAGAUCAGAGCAGCCAAACCGGAGUAUGAGGUGGAACCCAACCACACAGGGCCUGCCCUCCUGGAUUGCUUAUUUCUCCUCUCCCUUUCUACCAUAAAUCUCAGUAUCUGCUGUGGGGAAAGCAGCUGCAUAAAAUAUUUGCUGAGCCAUCCCCUCAUUAAAGUGUUUCACUGGCAAAGAAACACUUUUCUCUCGCUGUUGCAUAUUUACAGUUUGGAGAUUGCUUGUUAGGACAACCUGAGGUUGUGAUUUUUUUAGCUGUGCUGGUUUCAGAUGUCAGAAGAAGACACUUGGUUAAUAACCCACUGUUACUGCCAUGAACUGUAGUGCCAUGCAUUUGGGAAGCAGCCGGCAGCCCCUCUCCUCAUAAAGAAAAACACAGGGCCAGCUCUGUGUAAAAUCACCUCCCUUUGAUAGGAUUAAUUGCAGGAAUGCCACCAACUUGUCAUUAAAUUCAGCAAAUGCAUUUGGAGCAAGGGAUAAAUCACCCCAAGAGCCAAUGGCUCAUUCGGACAAAUGUGCCCUGCAGAGACCUGCUGUCACAGCCCUCCUCCAUCGGCUUGUCUGUCACUUUUACUUCUUUUCCCCACUAAUGCAGUGGCUUUGGUCAGAAAGGUGCCAGCUUUAAAACAACAGCCUCAAAAAUGACCAGGAAAGCAAAAAAUUACCCAUCCCUCCCGCCACACUAUCACCAGCCAGGCCAUCGACUUUCACAGAGCUCCUAUCUGCUCCCUGCACACUUCUCCGGUGUUGUAUCUGCUCCCGUCGCUGAUAAGACCCCGUUCAUCUAUUGUCAGCCCUGCUGAGCCAAUCUAGCUGCAUUCGAGCGAGCUGGAUUUUGUUCUGCAUCACGUAUCAAUGACAACUUCCAGCGACCGCCUUGCUUUAUAAACCUUGCCUGGUGAGGGUGAGUGGAGCCCCAAGAGAGAGGCGGAACUCUAAGCACAAAGGGAAUUCAAAGCAGCUCGGAAACAGGCGUUGAAAAUAGAGCAAAUAUGUUGUGGAUGCUAUCGGGAGAGACCAGAUAAACAUGGGAUACUAAGAUAGCCGUGGGCUAGACUGUUGUACAGUGCGGUACCCGGAACAGGAGUGUCAGUGGGUGCAAAACGCAGUGGUAUGUCUGCUAUGAAAGCAGAAAAGGGAUGAUUUGUGAUUAAGGCAAAGCAGUGAUGCUGAGUGGCUGGAGUCUGGUGUCAUUGAUCUCAGCUCUGGGCUCCCUUUCUUGCAGCAUUCACCAGUUGUCUUGACCAGAGAUUUUGCAAAGAGGUGUUGAAGGCAGUUGGGAGUGCAGGGAAGUGACAGGGUCCCAUAGCUGGACCUUUGUAGCUCUUUGGAAAUGUCCCCCGGUGAUGUGACAGUUCGUGGGUUCGGGAACAGAAGGGACUUGCCUGUUGCGUUGUGGAUAGAUGGUCUCUAAGCAGGGCUGCAUUGCAGAUGAGGCCUCAAAAAGCUACUGUAAUUUGAAUAAUAUAUAAAAUGUAGACUUCAACUAUGGUUUUAUAUACAGGAUGACACAUUUUAAGAUCAAAUUACUUUGAUACUCUUGACUCAGGAGAGUCAAGAUGCAGGGAAAAUUGCAUAGGUGCCUUGUGGGGAUGAAACCACUCAAGCUGCAGUUUUUGUGUAUUUUGCCUUUAAUGAACCUGCCAUUUUAUGAGUCAGCACUGAUGGGAAAUGCGAUGGUUGUCUUUUGGGAACACCUUACACUUCGUCUCCGCCUGCCAAGAUGUCACCUCCUUGCUCUUCGCUUUCUUUGACUGCCAUGCUUGUCUCCAGCCCUUUUAGACUUUCCCUGCUCAAAAGAUUAACCCCACAGUCUCAUGCUGGAUAACUUACUUGAGCUGAAGAGAAACAGCAGCACAAGACAGAUAAGAAAGUAAUUGUACCCUGAGGAAGCAUGAGGAGUGUCUGCAUCAUAUACACUUGCUUUACAAAACAGCAGCUACUUAUGCAAAGCAAGUGGCCUUUUAAAUCUAAGACAGGGUACAGGGAAAAGCCAUCUUGGUGGUUACCUCAUUAGGCCUCUGUCAUGGCUACUGGGAGCAGUCUCUAUCCUAUCCUGUCCUUAAUUUAGUUUUCCACCAUCAAAGACAUUGCAUCUCGCUGAUUGCCUGCACUAUGUUGUGGCCCUAUUUCUGGAUUAUGACAGACAGAUUGUGAAAAUAUAAUGUGAGAAGCUUGAGGGGGAGGGAAAGGAUGGUUUGGAUCAGGCAUCUCAGGGUGAGGAGCUGGUGGAAGAUCCAAGGUGGGGUUUAGACCUUGUCUAAGCUUGCUUCCCCGAAGACAUCUCCCAAGGCUGCCCAAAGGAAUCAGACAUUUUGUUUCCAGGCAUUUUAAUAUGAAAGCCUUCAAGCUAAACAUCACCAAAAGUGGCUCACUGGGCACUCCUAGAGAUCAGAUGCACCCACAGCUUGUGCUGAUGUCCCUCAGUCUUGCUCCAGAAGGGCCAUGUUCGCACAGAGAAGUAUUAUGGACACUCAGGAAAAAAAAAGGAUUAGACAACAUCAUAGAGGAAAAUCCAUCAAGCUUUAAUAACAACAGAGAGUCAUCAUUUCAAGUGGGAAAUACCAAGCCUGAGCUCUGUGGUAGCAGGUAGAAUACACAGCAAAGCAGCCUCAAUAUCCUCACCCUGUCUGUGCCCUUUCCUUGAUGCUACCAGAAACAGGACAGCAGGCUGGAUGGAUGUUGGGCUUUGCUCACUGCGAAUGUUCUUCUCUUCUUUCAACCUCAAAAUUCAAAACACACAGAAAUCUCUGACUUGAUUCACACGAGUGUCUUUCAGGUGGGAAAAGCUUUCAAUUGCUUCCAGCCUGGGGCCAGAGCAGUCCCAGUGACCAUGAAGUGGAAGGCUCCACAUCCCAUAUUACCCACUCACUACAGUCUUGUUCUCUCUUCUUUUCCUUGCCUUGACUUUGGUUUUCUCUUUUUCAGGCUCUAAUGAAGCACAAGUAUCCGGAAGGAAGGCAUGCCAGGGGUGACAGGGAAAUGUCCUUCUGAUCUCUCCUCUUGAAGGAAGAUUUGGAACAUUUUAAUAAAGUGGAUUAAGAACUCGGACACAAAAGUAACCUGUUUCUCUGUGACAGGUGCUUUAAUCUUCUCCCCAAGCUGCUGAUAAAGACUUUCCUUAGAGAAACCUCCUGAACACAAAAGGGAAAAUAAAAGAAUGGGAGAAUAGACUGAGAGGUGCAAAUGUUUAAAGGCACCCCCAAAAAUGAAGCUGCUCGUGUGUUAAUUGUGUUCUCCUUUCACAGAGCCUGUUUUCCUCUUUGGUUUCUGAUUUUGGAUCAAUGCUAGAGGCUGCAAAGCUGAACCAAGGAAGCUGAAGCUUUGCCCAGAUGGGGAACCCCACUGUUCCAUGAACAUGACGUGAGAAGGAAAUCUGAGCAAGCUGAGUCGAUUGGUCCGACGUGUUACAUGGAGAUUUCAACCUUUCUCCCACCUCCGCCGUUUUAGUUUGAACUUUUUGUUGCUUUAAUCCUUGAUGGUGACAUCUGGUCUUCACCCAUCAAUGAGAACUAGAGCUCAGCAGUUGCUUCUGUGCCUAGCUACACCGAGACACAGCAGAAACUCCUUCUGCACGAGCCCGGGGUGAUCUCUCAGAAAGGUGCCAACCCGUGAGGAUGGGCUGUCUGAAUUGUUUCGUUAUUUCCCAGCCAAGAGUCCAGCAAGGACAGCAACUGCGGUGACACCGACACUCGUUCCACUGGGACCCAAGCCAAGACUGGCUCCUUAUUACACAGAAGUCAUUGAGCUGUUGCCAGAGGCUAACGAAUGGUGGUCAGUGGUGAACUGACACUCCUCUGACCUCACGAUCCCAAGGCGAACAGGCCCAUUUAUCCAGACCCCACUAGUGCCAAUCAGCUCUUCUACGUUCACCUUCAAUCGGAGCUGGCUAGGAUGGGAGUUUGUUAGUGCUUUUUCUGAAAUUGGUUGGAUGCACGCUCACAAAGAAAACACUUGCCUUCACCUCUUGCUUGCUCCUUCUGAUUUUUCACAAGACACAAGUAGAACAUGACCUGCUGACAAACAUCCUGAAGAUGGAGUGUAAAAGAAGACCACAUCUUCCUAUAUGACAGGCUGCUGUUAUACUGUACUAGGUGUCAUGACCUUGGAAGCAGCCUACGGGGCAAAGUGUUUUGUCAGCAAAGUAAAUCUUGGUUAAGCCGUAUUACAAUCCUGAGACAGUGAGACAAUCUACAACAGCUUUGAUGAGUGAGUAACAACAAUGGGGUAGUGUGAAGUGUUCAUUAGUCCCCAUGGGUUACCUGGGGCUUUGCAAAACCCCUUCAGAGGGAUUUUUACUGUUCAUGUGUGUGUGGAGAGGCUAAAACAUGGGUGGGCUGGGGGUGGAAGAGGCUUAGGAGCAUCAUCGUUGUCCUCUGCCUUACUUCAACAGACUCCAGCCUUUUCGUGUGGUUCACAACUGUCUCCUCUCCCCUCAGUUGUCACUGCCCUGUUAUGCGGAUAAAAAUCUCUGCUCUGAGAUUUUGCCAAAGCAAGUCAGCUUGUGUUUACACGUGGCCACAUGUGGGACCAACAUCUGCAGGUGGAGUUGGGCAUGCAUGUGGAUGCAGGUGGUUCGUGGUGUGAUUGGAAGGAUGGGAGUGUGCACUAAAACAGCGGGGCUCACCCCCAUGGCCCCUUUGUAAUGCAUUCGUCAGUCAAAACUCCCUGGCCUAUACUUGUGACAUAAUGAUUGUCUCCACAGCAACCAAUUACAAUUAUAUAAAUAAAUACUUACGACAUUAUUGCACUGCAUAGAGGAGAGAUGGAGAGUGAUGAACAACCUGCUGGGUCUUGGGUGGGGGAAGAAUAGUUGUGCCAAUAGUCAAAGAUAACUCUAGCCACUCAUGAAGGGAGUGAUGACCCUAAAUUAUCUACAAACAAAUGGUAUUGUUUAAGAUUCUUUUUUCUUAAUAGUAAUCAUUACAAAGAAGAUCUCCCAUCCAGUCUCCAGAUAGUUCUCCUGAGGAAGCACCUUAUGGCCCAGAUGGCAUUGUUCGAACUUGCACAUCAAACCCAAGUUGCUCAUUCCUUGCUGGGCUGACACCAAAAGCUGCCCUAAGCUGAUGGCAGAAAUUGCUCCACAGCCCUGUUGCUUCGUGGCUGCACAAUGCCCUGGUGUCUGAGACCUUCUGUUUAAACCUCAGCUUUACCAUCUUUCCUGGAGAGCUGAAUUUUGUCUUGGUGAAAGCGACAUAGCUCCGUGGAAAUGCGAGAGCUCCAAGGGCUGUGCUGAUUCA
This is a long non-coding RNA of Columba livia (rock pigeon), 15492 nucleotides long. RefSeq lists it as uncharacterized. The transcript has 17 exons. NCBI's taxonomy places the organism in Eukaryota, Metazoa, Chordata, Aves, Columbiformes, Columbidae. The record is from RefSeq and is a predicted model, not a curated record.